GACGAACGCUGGCGGCGUGCUUAACACAUGCAAGUCGAACGGAAAGGCCCUGCUUGCAGGGUACUCGAGUGGCGAACGGGUGAGUAACACGUGGGUGAUCUGCCCUGCACUUCGGGAUAAGCCUGGGAAACUGGGUCUAAUACCGGAUAGGAGCCAUUUUUAGUGUGAUGGUUGGAAAGUUUUUUCGGUGUAGGAUGAGCUCGCGGCCUAUCAGCUUGUUGGUGGGGUAAUGGCCUACCAAGGCGGCGACGGGUAGCCGGCCUGAGAGGGUGGACGGCCAAAUUGGGGCGGGGGAAGGGCCCGGCGCCGACGGGGGGGGGGAGGGGGGGAAUUUGGACAAAUGGGGGGAGCCGGGUGGCGCGGCGCCGGGGGGGGGAUGACGGGCUUCGGGUUGGAAACGCCUUUCGCUAGGGACGAAGCUUUUUGUGACGGUACCUAGAUAAGAAGCACCGGCUAACUACGUG
Molecule: ribosomal RNA, 464 nt
Filed under: uncultured bacterium
Lineage: Bacteria
Description: partial 16S ribosomal RNA
Rfam family: Bacterial small subunit ribosomal RNA
Source: RNAcentral